GUUGAGAUAAAAUAGAUAAUUUAAGAAACUUGCUCAAGAUCACACAGAAGAAAAGAGUGGGGCUGAAGUCUGAACCCCUGUGCCAAUGUUGGACUUCUGCACUCUGCUACCUUGCCUGGACCCUGCCCUUUUCUGCACACUUCUUUCUCGAGGACAUGGAAAGGAAAAAGAAAGUGCUUAUUUCCUGUGCAAACCAGUGGCCCAAUGACAGAGACAAAUAAUGCGCAAAGAAAUUAAUUACAAGUUACAAAAUGGAAUGAUGAACACAUUCUACAACGUACUGGACUCUGGAGUAACAAAUGGAUGUCAGUGAUGAGAACUCUCCUGUAGAAUGCCCUAAAAAAACUUGGAAGGAUCUUUGUAAAAUAGAAUUCACCUUUUCUGUUACCAACCUGUGAAGGUGAGGCACAGUGAAGAGUAAACAGUCUAAGUUCCAGGGUUGGCUGUUCCUUGAUAACGAACCAGGUUUCCUAAGUACUGACUUCAUGCUCUUUCCAUUGUUUUCUAGAUUUUCUUAGCAAGCUGACCUUCAAAUUACCCAGCGGUAAGUAGCCUUUUAUAGUUCUCUUAUGAUGGAUGCCCUCUUGUUUUUUUUUUUCUUCUCAUGACUUUAGGAACUUGAAUUCCUGGAGAUGACCAGCAACCAGCCUGCAUUCCUUCCUCCACGCAGCCAUCAGUCUUUGGUCUUCAGCACUCUCCUUCAAAAGUUGACUAGUGACAUUUAUCGAAAUAGCAAAAUCUUUCAAAAGUGACAAGGAUCUUUCUUUUUCCACGUCUAACUAAAAGAUCAACUGUCACAGCACAAGAAAUGAAUGUGAUGAGGAAAAGCAAACAAAUGAAAAUGCCAAGUCAUUCCAAUUGGGUCAGUAAUUGGUAAGAGACCACAGGAAAUGUAUCUGGUUCUACCUAAUUAAUAUCUUCAUGGCACUAUGGUCACGUGCCACAUAAUGAAGUUUGGGUUAUAACUGACUACGUAUGUAAUGAUGACCCCAUCUGAUUAUAAUGAGACUGAAAAAUUCUUUUAUCUAGUGACAUUCCAGCUGUCCCUA
This 1049-nucleotide long non-coding RNA is filed under the name Fukomys damarensis (Damara mole-rat). RNAcentral describes it as "lncRNA (ENSFDAG00000028760.1)". Lineage: Eukaryota; Metazoa; Chordata; Mammalia; Rodentia; Bathyergidae. The record is from RNAcentral.